CCCUUAGAUGUUCUGGGCCGCACGCGCGCUACACUGAUGCAUUCAACGAGUCUAAAACCUGGUCUGAUAGGGCUGGGUAAUCUUUUGAAAGUGCAUCGUGAUUGGGAUAGAUGAUUGCAAUUCUUCAUCUUCAACGAGGAAUGCCUAGUAAACGCAAGUCAUCAGCUUGCAUUGAUUACGUCCCUGCCCUUUGUACACACCGCCCGUCGCUCCUACCAAUUGAAUGAUCCGAUGAAUACCAUGGAUUGAGAGUACGAAUGGGUUCGCUCAUUUCUGCUGCUCGAGAAGUGGAGUAAAUCUUAUCAUUUAGAGGAAGGAGAAGUCGUAACA
RNAcentral lists this ribosomal RNA (330 nucleotides) under uncultured eukaryote. RNAcentral describes it as "partial 18S ribosomal RNA". It matches the Rfam family "Eukaryotic small subunit ribosomal RNA", at positions 1470 to 1796 of the family's 1831-position model. The record is from RNAcentral.